AUGCCUGUGAAGCAUGAGACAACACACACAACAGUUCAGUUCACACUCAGAUCAGUGUCUUAUUUUAUUUCAGUUCAAAUUUAUAGCAAAAGUACUCUUUAUUUAUUCCACCUCCAAUUUUUUUUCCGAGUUCUAUUCUUCGUCACAGGUUCACUGCUAUUACCUCGGUGCAAAAAAGUGCCAAAAAGUUCAGUUCAUACUAUUCUAAAUGUCCAUAUUGUAGAUAAUAUUUGUGCUGUCUUAAAUUUCUGGAAACAAGCUUCAGUACAAGAAAAAUGGGCCAGUCAGUUCAUCCAUAUGCAAACCCCCGUAACAAAACGUAUCUCUAAUCCAAUUAGGUGA
Molecule: ribosomal RNA, 342 nt
Filed under: Triticum aestivum (bread wheat)
Lineage: Eukaryota; Viridiplantae; Streptophyta; Magnoliopsida; Poales; Poaceae
Description: partial small subunit ribosomal RNA
Source: RNAcentral